UAGGGAAUAUUGCAAAAUGGGCGAAAGCCCGAUGCAGCAACGCCGCGUGGGCGAUGAAGGCCUUCGGGUCGUAAAGCCCUUCUUGAGGGGAUGAGGAAGGACAGUACCCUCAGAAUAAGCCUCGGCUAACUACGUGCCAGCAGCCGCGGUAAAACGUAGGAGGCGAGCGUUAUCCGGAUUUACUGGGCGUAAAGCGCGUGCAGGCGGAUUGGAGAGUUGGAUGUGAAAGCUCCCGGCUUAACUGGGAGAGGUCGUUCAAUACUUCAGUCUUGAGUGCAGUAGAGGGAAGUGGAAUUCCGGGUGUAGUGGUAAAAUGCGUAGAUAUCCGGAGGAACACCAGUGGCGAAAGCGGCUUCCUGGACUGUAACUGACGCUCAGACGCGAAAGCUAGGGUAGCAAACG
This 402-nucleotide ribosomal RNA is filed under the name uncultured bacterium. RNAcentral describes it as "bacterial SSU rRNA". It matches the Rfam family "Bacterial small subunit ribosomal RNA", at positions 355 to 774 of the family's 1533-position model. The record is from RNAcentral.